GACCCAAUGGUGAAUUGUAUCGCGCCCGCACUACAUACAUGUGAUGUGUUGAUAAAAGUGGGAGGUUCUGGUUCGAUUCCAGGUUGGGUCA
Molecule: non-coding RNA, 91 nt
Organism: Mycena leptocephala
Lineage: Eukaryota; Fungi; Basidiomycota; Agaricomycetes; Agaricales; Mycenaceae
Source: the annotation of a GenBank genome assembly